GACGAACGCUGGCGGCGUGCUUAACACAUGCAAGUCGAACGGAAAGGCCCUGCUUGCAGGGUACUCGAGUGGCGAACGGGUGAGUAACACGUGGGUGAUCUGCCCUGCACUUCGGGAUAAGCCUGGGAAACUGGGUCUAAUACCGGAUAGGAGCCAUUUUUAGUGUGAUGGUUGGAAAGUUUUUUGGGUGUAGGAUGAGCUCGCGGCCUAUCAGCUUGUUGGUGGGGUAAUGGCCUACCAAGGCGGCGACGGGUAGCCGGCCUGAGAGGGUGGACGGCCACAUUGGGACUGAGAUACGGCCCAGACUCCUACGGGAGGGAGCAGGGGGGAAGAUUGCAAAAUGGGCGCGAGCCUGAUGCAGCGACGCCGCGUGGGGGAUGACGGGCUUCGGGUUGUAAACUCCUUUCGCUAGGGACGAAGCUUUUUGUGACGGUACCUAGAUAAGAAGCACCGGCUAACUACGUG
RNAcentral lists this ribosomal RNA (465 nucleotides) under uncultured bacterium. Its description in RNAcentral is "partial 16S ribosomal RNA". It matches the Rfam family "Bacterial small subunit ribosomal RNA", at positions 28 to 507 of the family's 1533-position model. The record is from RNAcentral.